UUUAAAAAUAAUACAUUUAAUAUAAUAUGUUUUUAAAGUGUUUUUAUUUUAUUCUCAGCUCCUCUCACGCUGACCAUCCCAACCACAUUUCCCAUUCAUUUCCCAUUUUUCACCUUAGCCUCCAACAGAUCCAGACCAAUCUCCAUUGCCAUCCUCCUUAACAAAGAAGCAACACUUCACUAUCAAUAAAUGUGUAAGAGUGAAACAAGGACCUUGAAUAUGAUCAGUCCACUCUUAAUGCCAAAAGCUGAGCGUCAAACACCCAAACCUCUCUUCCUUCUCAAAUUAAUCCAAAACCACCAACACCCCAAAAUCAUCACAGCAAACAACCCAACAUCAUCUUUCACCUGCAUCAAACAAACAAACAGAAAUCAAAUCAUAAAUCCUAUGCCAAUUCGUUCAAAGUUGGUCCUCUAAGGCAGCCCUGACCAAUUGAAACUGUGGUGACCGUUGUGAAAUGAAAAGGAGAUGACCCCGAAAGCACGUUAAGGAACUGAAGGUGAAGGAAGAGGUUGUCCUCCUUUGUUUGGGCAGGGAAACUUUAAGAGAGGAUUCUGACACGACAGCGACCCCAGCGACAGUCAGUGGCACCGGCGGCACCCAUCUCGCGUUUCUAUGGCGGCGGCUCAUGACGGCGGUGAUGGAGAAACAGUGACAGACGACGUUCGAGGGUGGAAGAGAAGGAAAAGGGGGUGACGUCGUGGCCGACUGUGAUUCCGGUGACGUUUGCCGUCGCUGGUGACGUGGUGGGCGUGGUAGAGAGUGCAGGUCCAAGGGGGAGAGAGACUCUGGAGGCUGAGAGGAAUGUUAGAAUGAAGUGAGAAAGUUGAACCCCUAAGGGAAAUUCUAGGUUAAAUGAAACCUGGGCCUAGGUUUUGGGCCGGUUUUUUUUUUUAUAAAAAAAAUAAAACUCUCUCUUGCAUCUUUGCCUUACAAAUAUAAUACAUACGUGUUUUUUUUUUAAAUAAAAAUUUCACGUAAUGUAUUCAUUUAAAUUAAAUAAUAAAUACCUGUUACAGAUCAGUACAGUGCAAACGGCGUUACUGGUCAGUUAACGGAGAGGGCUUAAUUGUUCCAAAUUUACAAAUAUUAGGACGCAAUUGGGACAAAAAAAAACAUGGAGACCCAAUUGAGAAUUGGGUACAAAUAUGAG
RNAcentral lists this long non-coding RNA (1153 nucleotides) under Vigna radiata. RNAcentral's name for it is "long non-coding RNA (VRAD_LNC007485)". The record is from RNAcentral. Lineage: Eukaryota; Viridiplantae; Streptophyta; Magnoliopsida; Fabales; Fabaceae.